Small nucleolar RNA from Ictidomys tridecemlineatus (thirteen-lined ground squirrel), 121 nucleotides. The record is from Ensembl. NCBI's taxonomy places the organism in Eukaryota, Metazoa, Chordata, Mammalia, Rodentia, Sciuridae.
GUUUUGUUAUUGUUAUUUUAAAGAGAAACAUAUUGCCUUACACCAGAGCAGACCAUGGCUGCAAACUAUUGCCUGACCUCUGUGCCCAGAGGUUACUGGAACUGAAGUGGGUUGUACCAUC